GAUAGAUAGAAUGAUAGAUGGAUAAAAUGAUGACAGUUUGAAUGACAGACAGACAGACAGACAGACAGACAGACAGAUAGAUAGAUAGAUAGAUAGAUAGAUAGAUAGAUAGAUAGAUAGAUAGAUAGAUAGAUAGAUAGAUGGAUAGAUGCAUCUGUUAAGUAUUUAGGGGGGUUGAAGGGGCCCAAAAUUUAGGAAGAUUUUCCCAUGGAAUUCUACGGCUCACAGUAGUCCUCUGCCAUUUCAGUUCAGCUGCUGAAUAGAACUAAAGAGUUUUGUCCUGUCAUUGCUGUCAUUUCUGCAAUGCAUUAUUCAUGUGUUUGCAUUGCACAUAUGCAUACAUAACAUGCAAUGAGGGUGGUUUUCACCAUCCGAGCUUCCAACAGGGGAUUUCGACCUCCUCUCCUCUACAUUAAAGCUGCCUGGUUUAUAUUCCACAUUCUGAGUGUUGCACAAGAUUACGGUAUUACUGACCUUGGCUGACUGCAUUCAUUUUCACAGAAGAGUCUUGAAGAUGAGGAAGAAUGAAUCUCUGUGGUUCUGGAGAGUGGAAAUACUCUGGGGUGUUGCUCUGUGCUGUUUCUCAGGGCAUCUCACCCGCCCAAUGAGAGGAGGCUUCGUCUUCACAAGGUCCCUCUCCCCCCUCCUCGCUUUCUCAUUGUACAAAGACGUACAGGUAGAGAAUGCGUAGCGAAAGGAUUGGAGCGUGCCGUGCACCUGCCCCCUGAAGCCAGCCAAACACUGACAGACACUUCAGUCCUUCUCUACAGGAGUAGAGUGGCCACAAAAUCUCUAAGAUCUGUUUGUCUCAUCUUUGCUAUCGAAUCUUGUUGUCUUUUGCUGCAUUAUCAAACUUCCUCUCGUUUACCAGAGGAAAGGUUUACUGCUAUUUCACAGCUCAGGAGAGAACAGAAUUCUCAUUUCUUUUUGGAACUCUGCUAAGAUGUUUCUCAUAAAAAAAAAAAAAAAUCCCUAAGAGAGAGAGCGAGAGAAAAAAGGACACAAACAAUUACUGACAUAUAAUAUAUAGGAUAUAUAUAAGUAUACAUAGUAUAUAUGGAUUGAAUUCAUGCGGAGAACCAAAUCUGAGCACAGCUUGAGACUGUUAGUGGAGAUGUUUUCUCAGGAGGAAUAUCUGACAAGCAGGAGACCUAAAAAAAAAUGUAUUCAAUCACCGGCUUUCUGGGAGAAACAUAUAUAAAUGAAAAAUAUACAAGAAUAUGAAAAAAAAAAAAACAAUAAAUACAUAACAUAUAUAAUAACGUUUUAUUUA
This is a long non-coding RNA of Cyprinus carpio (common carp), 1273 nucleotides long. Lineage: Eukaryota; Metazoa; Chordata; Actinopteri; Cypriniformes; Cyprinidae. The record is from Ensembl.